RNAcentral lists this non-coding RNA (23 nucleotides) under Arabidopsis thaliana (thale cress). Lineage: Eukaryota; Viridiplantae; Streptophyta; Magnoliopsida; Brassicales; Brassicaceae. The record is from RNAcentral.
UAUCUUCUAGACUCUGCUCAAGU